Long non-coding RNA from Sycon ciliatum, 2055 nucleotides. RefSeq lists it as uncharacterized. The record is from RefSeq and is a predicted model, not a curated record. The transcript is spliced from 6 exons. Lineage: Eukaryota; Metazoa; Porifera; Calcarea; Leucosolenida; Sycettidae.
UUGGGUUUGUUCGUAUCGGUUUUGUUUUUUAUUCGACGAACUGAAACUGUGAAAGACUAGAUUGUAGAGUCUAGGCGGAUACGUAGAGCGGCUACAAAGUAGGGCCCUAGCCUAGGGACGAACGAAAAGAGGUCGAGUGCAUGCUGAGUGUGGUCCGCUCGUUGCAAAAAGUAGAAUAUAAUUAUUUCACCGUGACUCUACCGAGCUAGGAAAGGAAGCAGCAAAACGAGGGGAAAUGGUCCAGGUGGGGUACGCCAUUUACAGAGCAGCUAGCUAGCUGGACAGACGAAUUCCCGGCAAGGAUUUUGCCACAGGGAGCGAUACUCGACGCUUUCGAGAAGGCCAUUACCCCAAGCAACAGUCAUCUUUGACGAGCUAUCGAAGCCAUGGUAGAGGCCAUUGGACCCUCGUCAGGAGGCGCUCUGGCGGACUGCUCAAGAGCUGUUACUUCCAAGUACGGUACUGGUACUGUUAGAGACGACUUGGUCGCCAACCUCAAUCCAGUCACGGUCGGCCGUUGCCGCAGCGGAAGCAGCGACCGCGCCCGCACUGGUCAGAGGAGCACAUCCAUGGCAGUCACGUCCACGGUCGAUCGGUCCACCCCUCCAGCGCCAGAGUAGCCUGUAGGCAGUAGCACACGCCGCGGCAAUGCCAGCUGAUGGCUGGGAGGUGCGGAGACGCCUGUGCGGACGGGGACCUUACCCACCGACCCGGAACCGGUGGACGAAAGACGCAGGAGUUUCUCGACCAAGGAAUGAUGAAGAUUGUUGACGGGAUCCCUGGCCUGGGAUGCAAAGAAAAAGCCGCCUGGUCUGGCUCAUAAUAUUGCCGGCCAGUUUCAGUCUUCAUUAGUGCAAGACAGCUAGUGGAGGAUGACAACCUCUAGUGGAGGAUUGCCUGGACCACGCCUGGUGUUACUAUGUACACUUGACUGUGUGUGACCAUUAACAGUUCGUACACAGGUUGAAGAGCAUUGUAAGCACAUCCAUUUCCGUCAGCGUACACACAGCACACUGGACAGGGGCAAGUAGAUGAUGAGAGCGGAUAACUGAAGACAUCACUGCGAUCAGUUCGGCCGAGUAACUCUGAGCUUCGCUGAUGAGACCUAACAAGGUCAAAACGGCUAGCUGUCCGGAGAUUGAGUACGACGACACCUGUAGUGAUAGCACAUGCAAGCUGCUAUUCACCCUUGUCUGGAGAUUACGGGAGAAAGGUGUUCUCCUGCAGUGUUACUCCAGCAGGACUGGCUGCUAGUAGCUGAUGUCAAGAACUGACGCUGGCUUCUAAUGGGAGAUUGAGAAAGUCAAUUCUGAAGUGCUCAUUUCGAGAUCGCUUCCGUGUGCCACCACACGCUCUGUCUGCGGGGAAAUGUUGUUCGGGUUCCCAGACGUAGCACCUGCGUUUCACCAGUCCAGUUGAAUCUCUCGCCUUUCAGUCCUAUUCGGCAAGGAUCAAACUCUCUAUGUCAUUAUCUCCAGCCCAUGUCAAGAUGGGUUUCAAGAAGUUCUCGCCAGUAAAGUCCUGGCCAGAGAAAACCGACAUCAGGAACAUUAUCACCAAGGAGCCACGCGGCCCUCGCACCACACACACGCACGCCUCUCUGCGCACUGGACCAGGGCGCUACUUUGAUAAUUGUAAUACUUAUUGCAUAUUGCGCUAUUAUCCACACUGGUAUCUGCUAUGUAAAACAAACUACCCAUCCCAUUGGCGUGACACAACUCCCACUGAAACCUACUUAAUUCCUUCGUCGGCUCUACAUGUACAUGUAUCCCCCAUCUUGGUUAUAGCAAUAUACCUCAGCCCCUCGUCCACUUAUAUUACGCACAGUGUAUUCCAGCGCUGAUAUUAUCUCCUCAAGCUUCGUGGUUGCGGCACUGCCUUAGCCCACAUUACAAUCACCCUAUAUAACUAGCGAAUAGCGUUAUUAUGCUUUAUCGUCUGAUGAGUGUUUUUUGAAACACGAAACUCGGAGUUACGAGAAAGAUUUUUGGUCUCUGUUGAUCUGCCCUGUGUGGUAAGAUCUGCCCUUUUUUGAGGUAUUGAGCACUUUUUGUA